GAAAUCCUUAUCCUCCUGGUUGGCCUCAUCUUCAAGCUGCCACUCUCAGCUGAUCCCUAUCCUCUACCGCUCUCUCUCUCCCUUCCGAUAUUUUGCACCGUCGUGCUCAGGUUUCUGGUGUUUUCUCCAUUGCGUUCAUCUCCCUCUGUGCUCCUCCCUGUCGCGCCCUCCCUGGUGGACACGUGCAGCUCCCUCUGCCUUCCAUGAGUUUUUUGAACCAAGAUAUCACUGAGACUGGACUUUAAAAAAUAGUAUCCUGAACACCGUAAUUGAAGUUUUAGUAUUAUAAACCGUUUAGCUUUGGUUUUUUCUAUCGGACUGUGAUUUAGCCAAUGUUCAGCUACUAGUACAAGCUGUUACGGCAAUCCAUCUCACUGCCCCGUUCUUAGAACGAAUAUGUGCUGGAGCUCCUCUCGUGACGCUCUUCUCUCCCGGCGCUGGAGCUCCCCUAUCAAGUCUUGUCCGACGGCGCUCCGGGGCGCUCCUCUCCCUGGUCCCGGCGGUGCUCCUCUUCCUGAUGUUGAUGAUUACUCGGCCCAGCCAGCAGUGCUUCCCCGCCAGCAGUGCUUCCCCGCCAGUGCUUCCUCGCUCCUGGCUGUGCUUCCCCGCGACCGGUUAUCGUUCCCUGAGACGCUCGGUCUCGCUCCCGACCUCAACAAUGGAGACCCCGCCAGGAGCGAUGACGUCGGCACCGGCUGUUGUCAUCCCCGAUGACAACCAUGAUGCGUAUAGGUCCGUCACUAUUGAAGAUGUUGACCACUCAUUGAUUAAGGCACCAACAACGCUUGAGGAGAUCGGUGCUCUGCCUCCUAUGGAUGUUGUAAAGCUUCGUUAAUGGUCAAUGGCCAAUGAGAGUGUUAUGUACCCAAUGAGAGUGUUAUGUACCUUAAACUUGUAUUUCUAAGUACUAUAAGUGAACUUUCAGUGAACUUGUUGUUUUCAGUGAGCUUUCAGUGAACUGUUAACCGGUAUUAGAAUCAAUGAACUUUCAUUGAACUGUGAACUAGGCUA
Long non-coding RNA from Zea mays, 1011 nucleotides. RefSeq lists it as uncharacterized. The record is from RefSeq and is a predicted model, not a curated record. Lineage: Eukaryota; Viridiplantae; Streptophyta; Magnoliopsida; Poales; Poaceae. The transcript is spliced from 2 exons.